Molecule: ribosomal RNA, 207 nt
Rfam family: Bacterial large subunit ribosomal RNA
CCGGUAGCUAAGUGCGGAAAAGAUAAGCGCUGAAAGCAUCUAAGCGCGAAACUUGCCUCAAGAUGAGUCUUCCCUGGGCCUUUAAGGCCCCUGAAGGAACGUUUAAGACUAAGACGUUGAUAGGCUGGGUGUGUAAGUGCAGCGAUGCAUUGAGCUAACCAGUACUAAUGAUCCGUGAGGCUUAACCUUACAACACCGAAGGUGUUU